UACUUAGUGGCAGACGGGUGAGUAACAUGUAGGUAUCUGCCCUUUGGCCUGGAAUAACACGAGGAAACUUGUGCUAAUACCGGAUAAGUCUUUACGGAGAAAGCUUUAUGCACCAUUGGAUGAGCCUGCACUUGAUUAGUUUGUUGGUGGGGUAAUGGCCUACCAAGACUGUGAUCAAUAGCUGAUUUGAGAGGAUGAUCAGCCACAUUGGGACUGAGACACGGCCCAAACUCCUACGGGAGGCAGCAGUGGGGAAUCUUGCACAAUGGAGGAAACUCUGAUGCAGCGAUGCCGCGUGAGUGAAGAAGGCCCUUGGGUUGUAAAGCUCUUUCGUCGGGGAAGAAAAUGACUGUACCCGAAUAAGAAGGUCCGGCUAACUUCGUGCCAGCAGCCGCGGUAAUACGAAGGGACCUAGCGUAGUUCGGAAUUACUGGGCUUAAAGAGUUCGUAGGUGGUUGAAAUAGUUGGUGGUGAAAUCCCAGAGCUUAACUCUGGAACUGCCAUCAAAACUUUUCAGCUAGAGUAUGAUAGAGGAAAGCAGAAUUUCUAGUGUAGAGGUGAAAUUCGUAGAUAUUAGAAAGAAUACCAAAUGCGAAGGCAGCUUUCUGGAUCAUUACUGACACUGAGGAACGAAAGCAUGGGUAGCGAAGAGGAUUAGAUACCCUCGUAGUCCAUGCCGUAAACGAUGUGUGUUAGACGUUGGAAAUUUAUUUUCAGUGUCGCAGGGAAACCGAUAAA
RNAcentral lists this ribosomal RNA (738 nucleotides) under alpha proteobacterium SCGC AAA160-I09. Its description in RNAcentral is "bacterial SSU rRNA". It matches the Rfam family "Bacterial small subunit ribosomal RNA", at positions 89 to 864 of the family's 1533-position model. Lineage: Bacteria; Pseudomonadati; Pseudomonadota; Alphaproteobacteria. The record is from RNAcentral.